ACUACGGGAGGCAGCAGUGGGGAAUAUUGCGCAAUGGGCGAAAGCCUGACGCAGCGACGCCGCGUGAGGGAUGAAGGUCUUCGGAUCGUAAACCUCUGUCAGCAGGGAAGAACGGUCACUGUGCUAAUCAGCAGUGAAUUGACGGUACCUGCACAGGAAGCACCGGCUAACUCCGUGCCAGCAGCCGCGGUAAUACGGAGGGUGCGAGCGUUAAUCGGAAUUACUGGGCGUAAAGCGCUCGUAGGCGGUAUGUCAAGUCAAGGGUGAAAUCCCCGCGCUCAACGUGGGAACUGCCUUUGAAUCUGGCAAACUGGAGUGUGUGAGAGGAUAGUGGAAGUCCAGGUUUAGGAGUGAAAUCCGUAGAUAUCUGGAGGAACAUCAGUGGCGAAGGCGACUAUCUGGCACAUAACUGACGCUGAGGAGCGAAAGCGUGGGUAGCAAACAGGAUUAGAUACCCUGGUAGUC
Molecule: ribosomal RNA, 465 nt
Filed under: uncultured bacterium
Lineage: Bacteria
Description: partial 16S ribosomal RNA
Rfam family: Bacterial small subunit ribosomal RNA
Source: RNAcentral